GAACCGCGGAGUAAACACAUAUAAGGUGCCUUCGGCUACCACCCACAGAUGGACUCGCGGCGCAUUAGGUAGUUGGUGAGGUAAUGGCUCACCAAGGAAACGAUGAGUAGCCGACCUGAGAGGGUGAUCGGCCACACUGGGAAUGAGACACGGCCCAGACUCCCACGGGAGGCAGCAGUAGGGAAUCUUCUGCAAUGGACGAAAGUCUGACGGAGCAACGCCGCGUGAGUGAUGAAGGUUUUCGGAUCGUAAAGCUCUGUUGUUAGGGAAGAACAAGUACCGUUUGAAUAGGGCGGUACCUUGACGGUACCUAACCAGAAAGCCACGGCUAACUACGUGCCAGCAGCCGCGGUAAUACGUAGGUGGCAAGCGUUGUCCGGAAUUAUUGGGCGUAAAGGGCUCGCAGGCGGUUUCUUAAGUCUGAUGUGAAAGCCCCCGGCUCAACCGGGGAGGGUCAUUGGAAACUGGGGAACUUGAGUGCAGAAGAGGAGAGUGGAAUUCCACGUGUAGCGGUGAAAUGCGUAGAGAUGUGGAGGAACACCAGUGGCGAAGGCGACUCUCUGGUCUGUAACUGACGCUGAGGAGCGAAAGCGUGGGGAGCGAACAGGAUUAGAUACCCUGGUAGUCCACGCCGUAAACGAUGAGUGCUAAGUGUUAGGGGGUUUCCGCCCCUUAGUGCUGCAGCUAACGCAUUAAGCACUCUGCCUGGGAGCCGGAACG
Molecule: ribosomal RNA, 720 nt
Filed under: Bacillus sp. ND52
Lineage: Bacteria; Bacillati; Bacillota; Bacilli; Caryophanales; Bacillaceae
Description: bacterial SSU rRNA
Rfam family: Bacterial small subunit ribosomal RNA
Source: RNAcentral